UUUCGAACUCCUCAUUCUAUUCAGCACAGCCAAAUAUACCUCUCAAAAUGCAUCUCCAAUUGCAGUUAGAGUUAGCAAACUUCCAGUGGGUCCCAAGGUAUUGACUCCGCCAUAUCGACAUAAGGAUAAAAGGUCAAUCCAGUCUCUUUGUAAGGGUCAUCCUUGGAAAGAAGGUUAUAGAUUUCACGCUCCUUCCUUUGAAGUUCAAAUGUACUUCCAUCUUUCACACAUGAUGGCAACCAUUGCUCAGAAGAUUGUUUUAGUCCUUCGGUGAUCUUGCAAGAUAGCUCGUUGGCUAUCGAAAUUCGACGUGUCCUCUCAUUGUCAGUAACACUCGAAUGGGUGGGAGCUAGAGACGUGAAGAAGGCCCUUUCGACCUUAUUGGUGUCAGGAUUGAAGACCGAAGAAGAAAUGACAUAUGAUUUGGCCGUCGAAGGCUGGCGUGUAUUACAGUCCUCCUCGAUAUCCUUUUGCUCCAGGAUACCAAAGGCUUCGGCUGCUCUUCUCUCGUUGCAAAUAGGUGGGUCUGAACUAUCCCAUGAUUGCACCGACGUUUCGGACUUGCUUUGCGUAGAAGGGAACAUCCUGGCGGAAGUUCUGUAUAGUGUUGAUCUUUCGAAGGUACAGAAAGGGAACGAGUGCUGGGCGGCAGUCUUGGGUAGUUGUAUCUUAUGUAAGUACUAUAAAUCCCGACGAAAUUUGCAUAUUGGCAGUAUCUCA
RNAcentral lists this small RNA (720 nucleotides) under Cryptococcus neoformans H99. RNAcentral describes it as "Cryptococcus neoformans var. grubii H99 hypothetical RNA". The record is from RNAcentral. Lineage: Eukaryota; Fungi; Basidiomycota; Tremellomycetes; Tremellales; Cryptococcaceae.